UCAAAACGAGAGCUCCAGGGGAUAGAAGAUAAAGAUGGUAGGCUAAGACAGAAGGAGUUCAAGUUAGAUCCGCUAAGAUCGAGUUGAGAUUCCUAAUUCAAGUCAGGGACUGAGUGGGCCGUUGGCUAUGCUAUUGAAUGCGUUGUCGGAAGGAUGGGAGGAUAGAAUACCCGAGACUAGCUGCCGGAAAGAGCUCAUUAGAGGCAUUCCACUUUCUUCCAAUGAGAUGUCUUACGCUUCAUGAUGGCAUUUAGAGGGCUCUGCUCUGUAGCCAGAGUAUAGUAAGGAGCGAGGGAUAGAAGGGAUUCAAAAAGACUAAAGUAAAGUUUUGCAAUAAAAAGAACUUCUUAAUCCAGCUGCCAUUUCGCUAGAUAC
Molecule: long non-coding RNA, 375 nt
Filed under: Lathyrus oleraceus (garden pea)
Lineage: Eukaryota; Viridiplantae; Streptophyta; Magnoliopsida; Fabales; Fabaceae
Description: Pisum sativum (pea) long non-coding RNA (PSAT_LNC034527)
Source: RNAcentral